AACGCGAAGAACCUUACCUGGCCUUGACAUGUCUGGAAUGCCGAAGAGAUUUGGCAGUGCUCGCAAGAGAACCGGAACACAGGUGCUGCAUGGCUGUCGUCAGCUCGUGUCGUGAGAUGUUGGGUUAAGUCCCGCAACGAGCGCAACCCUUGUCAUUAGUUGCUACGAAAGGGCACUCUAAUGAGACUGCCGGUGACAAACCGGAGGAAGGUGGGGAUGACGUCAAGUCCUCAUGGCCCUUAUGGGUAGGGCUUCACACGUCAUACAAUGGUCGGGACAGAGGGUCGCCAACCCGCGAGGGGGAGCCAAUCCCAGAAACCCGAUCGUAGUCCGGAUCGCAGACUGCAACUCGACUGCGUGAAGUCGGAAUCGCUAGUAAUCGCGAUCAGCA
Molecule: ribosomal RNA, 391 nt
Filed under: uncultured Achromobacter sp.
Lineage: Bacteria; Pseudomonadati; Pseudomonadota; Betaproteobacteria; Burkholderiales; Alcaligenaceae
Description: bacterial SSU rRNA
Rfam family: Bacterial small subunit ribosomal RNA
Source: RNAcentral